UGAAGUGGGGGGACCGGGCGUGGGGGCCGCGGGAAGCUUUCGGGAAAUGUUUAUCCGGCAGUUGCAAGAAACUCUGCCCUCGGGACGAGGCGCCUUGCUUUUUGCCGGGGCCAGCGAAAGUGGCGGAUUUCACAGCAAAACUCGGGUGAAGCCAGGCUGGACCGGCCGGGAGUGAGAGAGGCCGGGAGCACCCGUCUGGAUGGGGACCAGAGAUGAACGAAUCCGCCUGUGUGUAGCACCAGGGCAUGAUGUGUGCACGUUGCUAUGCCAGUGUUUAAUGUUUGUUGCUUAUGGUUAUUUUAGGACUAAAUGAUAAAAAAGUUACUUGGGAGAGAGGGAACUGCUUGAUUUGACAUGAGUUCUUCACUUGUGCAUGCAGGAAAUACAUUAAUCCUGUACACACACAACUGAAUUUAUGUCCAGUGGACUUUACAAAUAAUAUACACAAAAUUCUAAAGCCCCGAAGCAAGGUGAUGUGUGUCUGAAGAGUUUCAGGUGUCAGGCUCCGUGUUCCGUGGGAACAAAAUAGGAGGACACCGAAGUACUUGAUAUGCCCAAGCAGUCAUCUUUUUGUAAUAAGCUUUGGAUACCAUCAAAGUGGAGUUUAGUUGUAACUGCCAGGGUUAAGUAAUCGCAUUGACCCGGUGCCACCCACCAGUUUGGAGCUUCUCUGAAAGUAAUUUACGAGACAGUCCUGUGCUGAUUGUGAAUAACCAGUGCUUUUGCUGAUUUUUUUCCUGUUUAAUUUUACACUGUCAUCAUGUAUGUGUAUGCUACCUGUUUACCAAACGUUAGAAUGAAUUAUCCAUAGUUAAACUCUCCACUAAAUCACUAAAUCAGGUACUAGCUGUGGCAUGUCUUUAAAAAUAUAUAUAUUUGAAUGUUACCUGGAAAUUACCGAUAUAAUGGUUUCAAGCUGAUAGGGAUUUUUUGAACUUAAGUCUAGCAUAAACAUUAUCCCAAGUGGAUGUGUUUUAAAAUUUAAAUCUCAUCUAAGAAAACUUCCUGGUUUGUGAAAGGUGCAGGAUUGUGAUGAUAGCUGAGGAAAUGCCAGAGAGAAUUUUUGGUAGAGAAUAAGAGAACAACCUGUGAAUUUGGUGUUAACCAGCAGUCUCGGCAUAUACUCACUUGCUCCUUACCUAAGCAUUUCUGAUAUGUGGGUGCUUUUUCUGUUGAUUAUGUAUCUUUGGUUAUUUGUCAUUUUCAAAAAGUUUCCUCAACAGAGGACCCUCACUUUGAAAUUGAGUCCUUGUGGCAUGUAGCCGGGAUACCAAAAGUUUUCAGUACCAGAUGCAGAGAGAGAUCAGUCCGUUUGGGAUCUUGUUAAUUCUUUCUGUGCAGCUACUUUUGUGCUGUGAGGUCUCUUUUACAUCUUGCUCCUAUUGGCCAUAGCUGACAUAUGUCUGUAUACAGUCCUGUAGUGGGGUACUUAAUUGUUACAACCUGAAAAGAUUAUUUCUUGUAAUAUAUAAAUAAAUUUUUAUGUUUUUCUCUCUUCUCUCUUUUUCAAGGGAACUGUAGAAUUGGACAAAUCAACACUUAGCAUGUCCCCCUCCUGUAGGUCUUGUUGACCUUGGUGGCAUCGUGGAGGUCAUAUGUUCAUGGAGAUAAACAGUUCUUGAACGGUUUACUCCAGGUGGUAAAAACACAUGGGAAAGUGAUUUGGGCUAUCAAGAAACUGAACUUUGCAAGUAUUUUCUGUGAAAGGGUGAAUAAGCUAUCCAAAGUGAGUGAUUUUAGCCUGUGUAGAAAACAUCUCCAGCUGUGUUAAAUAUAAAGCUGUCAGUUCUUUGAAUAUCUCCUUGCAAUAAUUAAUCAUCCUUCUCAGUUAACAGCACAGACAGUACAGCACAGGUGUCUUCAGAAUUCGGCAAAGUAGAUGGGACUGCAGACGUUACCAUUCCCUGUGACUCUUGCUACGAUCUUACAGACUUCAUUGUGCUGGGCUUAGAUGUCUUCAGAGUCACCAGCUUUGUUUUUCAGUUCCAUGAAAUCAGCCUGCCUUUUCUUUUUUUGGUGAUACAUCCACAUUCUGUAUAGGUGAAAAGCAAAACAAACAAGUAUAAAACGAAAAUUAUGUAAGAAGUACACACAUCCUAGCAGCUUGGCAAGUGUCUGUAUGCUCUUGCCUGUGCCUAAAUCCAGAAUUAGAAUUCAUGCUUGGUGCUCCUGUGGAAGAUGUCUAAAUGUUAUGAGAAAUACAUGAUUAAAUAAAAAUGUGAAAUGAAAGCAUGGAGACUUGUUGAAGGUGAGUGCUGUUUUUCUAAUUAUAUAUUUUAUUUGUUUAAUGAAUAAUUUGUUAAUUUUCUUUGUCAUUACGAGAGAGCUGUUUUAUUCUGUACUUAGGUGCAUAGCAUACUAUGUUUUAGUGAGCUCCACAUGUUAAUUUGAAACUUGCCAAAUUUUUACAUUAUUUUAUAAUUUAUAGUACUUUGAGAAACAUAUUGCAAUGCAUUACAAAGCAUAUAAUGUAAAGGUAGUUUUAUGAAGUGUUUUUCUCCCAAAUUAAGCAUAUUUGGGAAUUGCCCAUCAAUUUGUUUUUGAACCUCAGUGCAUAAAAUAUAGAAUUUUUCUUUCAUAUGCUAGAUGUGAAAAAUACUCAGCAUAUGCAUGUGGUUUAGGCUACAAAAUAGCCUGUAGGUUAAAUUCCUAAUUCUAGUGUUUAAUUCAUUGCCUUUUUUCUUCUUGUUUAAUGGCCAUAUGUUUAUAUCUUUAUAUUACAUACAUUCCUGAUUAUGUAAUAAGGUCUUUGAUCAUGUGGGCUAUCAGAUUUGCCUCACUUUGUCUCUUAGAAGAAGCUAUACAUGAAACUAUGUUGUACUUAAGUGAAAAUUUGAGUAUUUUUCUUGUUUGAAUUAAUGCAGUGAAACAUUCUACUUACAGUUAGCUGUCUCCCACCCUUACAGGAAGGUACAUGCCUUCAUUUUUUAAAACACUGUAUAUUUAUUAGAAUUGUUACAGAAUUUUAGUAAAUAUAUUCUAAUCACAUAUUUUCUGAUUAAUGUGUGCUUAUCAGUUUUAAAUGUUAUGAAAUCUGGAUAUAUGUUAAAAUGUCUCAGUUUUCCCCUCUUGUUUACCAUAUUGCCAUUUGGUAUUAAUAGAUAACAUAAUGUAAAAUUGGAUGUCUUUGAUAAUUUUGGGAUAUGUUCUGAAAUUAAACUUGAACUUUUUUCUGUGAAUUUUGAAGAUUUGGUAUCUUAUAAUUAUUUGGUGAGCAUUUGGCAUGAAUUAUUUAGCUUCUCCCCUGUUUAUGAUUUAUUUCUCUUGUCAUCGAUUUCCAAUAGGAAAAUGUUAUGGUUCUAAAUGUCUCCUGUAGACUUCAGUAAUUGAAAAAUGUCAGUCAAGAUGGGGGGAAUCUGUAAUAUAUAAUAGAGUUUAUCUUUUAGUUAUGUUCAUUUCCACUUUUUUUAAUGUGUUUUUUUUUUAGUAAAUGUCAAAAGUGUUACUCAGUGCAACAUAUUAUGCAAUAUUAUAAUCAACUAACCUCUUCAUUGAUAAUGACUUCAUAUUGAGAGGUUUUUUAAAUCUAGAAAUAUUCUUGUUUUAAAUUCCAGGUUAAAAUGUAAAGGUAUUUUUAUUUUUUUAAUUUUAAUUCUUCUCAAAGCUACUAGUACAUUAUAAAACAACAAUUUCACAUUUAGAAUUUUUAUAUGUAUAUAAAUUAGGAUUAUUUUUUAAUAUUAGCCUUAACUUUCUUUAACUUUUAUGAAAAACAACUAGUCCCAAGGGUAUUUUUACUAUUUAAUAUACAUUAUUCCUGUGAUUCAAAAUCUUAGCAGUAGAACCUGUUGAGCUACUUAACUUUCUGUCUUGGGACUAUCCAGGUGCAGUUAUAACUGGUUUCAAAGUUGUGACCUUUUCCUUGCUUGUUUCAAAAUCAUUCCUUAAAAAAUGUUCAGUAUUUUUCUUUUGUCAAAAAAUAAAAACAGGAUUUGUGGGUUGUUCUGUUUUUUAAAAUUAGUUUGAGAAACUUCCUUUGCCACUUGUUUUCUGUGCAAAUGUUGUAAGAGCUCAAAUUCCCUGGGGGUAGGGAGGACUUUUAUAAGGUUUUUUUGGUUGAAGGGUAUAAAAGGCACUUAAAAGGUAUACAGUUACUUUUAUUUCGAUAUCCCAGUCAUUUUGACAUUAUGAUAAGCUUUCCCCACUUUAUAGGUUAUCUGAAAAUUUGGUGGGGGGCGGGUAUUUUAUUUAUACUUAAUAUAACAAAAUUAUUUUCCUAUGUGUAGUCAAUAGCACAUACAAAAAAUUAUCUCCUGUUUGUAGUCAGUAGCACAGUCAGUAUUCACCAAAAUACUGAGUUAUUUUUCAAGUAAAGGUAUAAGUAUGAAUGAGAAACAGUUUGUGGGUUGGGUAUUGUCAGUCCUUCUUUUUCAGAUAACUUUCUAAAUGGUCAUUCAAUCUGUAAUCUUAAACUUUUUUAAUGUUAUAAAUUCUUCAAAUCAGUAUUUGUAUUAAAUGCAGUGACCAGACUAUGUCACUGAUACAAUGUCAUGAUUAGAUGUGCAGAAGACUAUGUUACAUGGAUGAUAAAUGAACUUUUAACAUAUAGAAAUUAAUAUCAGAUUAAACUAAAACAUUAAGCAAAGUUAAUACAUGCUUGCAUACAUAUAUAUAUUUAUUUAUUAAUGAUAUGUGGAGAAUCUUUGUGCUUCAUAGUCACUAGACCUAAAGUAGAAGCAGUUGUCAAGAAUGUCCAACUGCUAUUCAUCUUUGUGGCCAAAGUAAAUUUCAGAUUUUUUUUUUGUAAUGGUUUUCUUUAGUCUCUUUAUUAACCCAUCAUCAUGACAAGUCUGUCAAGUGACACAUGUGAAAAGCAGAUGUCCUUUCUUAUUCCUGGUGCUUCCUAAGGAGGCAGUGCAAUGCAGGAGAAGGAACAUUAUUAGAGAUAAAGGAAAAAACCAGAAGUGCUUUCUCCUCUCACAUUCCACUCAACACUUCUCUCACCAAAUGUGUGUGGGGAUUUCUCUCCACCAACAACCAGCAGUUCUUUACUGCAGAUUCUCCAGUGGAUACCAGCCAGGUGUCCUCUAAUUCAGUUCAAUUCUGACAUUAUCUACUGGGAGAUAGUGUCAGAUCCCGCAAGUGGAGGGCUCAGUCCUACAAGACUACCCCUUACUUCAGAUGUCAGUCACAAGCAGUUAGCGGUUUGUGAUUCUGACCAACUGGCUAGAGGUCCCCCUCCUCAAGUGUGAUUAAUUUGCUAGAGCAGCUCACAGAAUUCAGGGAAACACUUUAUUUACAUUUACCCAUUUAUUAUAAAGGAUAUUAUGAAGGAUACACAUGAACUGCCAGAAAGACAAGGAGCAUAGGCAAGAUACUGAGAAGGGUCACGGAGCUUCUGUGCCUUCUCCAGGUGCACCACCCUCUGGGAAUAGUCAGUUCAUGUGUUCAGCUGUCUCGAAGCUCAUUCGAACCCUGUCCUUCUGAGUUUCUGUGGAGGCUUCAUUACGUUAAGGUUCAGAAAUCAAUACCCCAAAAUAUGGGGCUUUGACAUGCUGAAUUAAAGAAGCAGCCUCAAGGCCUCUUGGCCUUCUCCAGCUCUCCUCACCCAAAUCCUGUCUCUCCCAAAGCACAAGAUGAGGCUGUUCACCAAAGUUCCCUUAUUUACCUAGAAACUGGACCUUAAAGAGGAACACAGUUGCCUGCGAUUCCAUCCCUGUAAUUUUAUUAACCAGAGAUUAAAACUUAUAUCACAGAGGAAGAGACUAAAAAUUAAACACCACACCUGGAGCCCAGAUGACCUGUCCCAAUCUAUUAUCUGUUCUCCAGUCCCAUUUAGUUCCCAAAGGGAAUCAUUUACAAACCAUUGUCUGAUCUUCCGGCCCAUUUAUUUACAGCUCCCCCUCUUUCCCCAAUGAAAAUGAUACUUAAGUGUCAGCCAUCUAUCGGCUCUUUGAGUUUUCACAUUUUGUAUGACUCCUGUGCACACACAUGCAUGUAAUAACUGUUAUACUUGUUAACUUUUUUUCAUUAUAGGGGUAUCCACCAUGAUUAUAUAUGAUGGGGAGGAAAGGGAUUACUCCAUUUCUGCCCCUGCAGUCUGUAGGCAUGAUUGAUUACAUCAUUGGUCGCCGGUGAUUAACUCAGUCUCCAAGCCCUGUCGUGUCCCUGGAGGUUGGAGGGUGGCACUGAAAGCUCCAACCAUCUCAUCAUGCUUUGAUCUUUCCGAUGACCAGACCCCACCCUGAAGCUAUCUACGGGUCCCCAGCAACAUUCAUUUCGUUAUCAUACAAAUGACAUUCUUACAAUUUCAGAGAUUCCAAGGGCUUUAGGAAAUGGAGAUGAAGAGCAAAUAUAUAUUUCACAAUAUCACAAACAUACCCUUGGGAAUUAGACCUCUGAUCUAAUCUAGGCUCCCUCACUUGCCAUUUUUGUGACCUUGAACAAGUUGUUCAUCUUUUCUGGAUAGUUCUCUGUUAAAAAAAUUAAAAUAAAAAAAUGGUGGCUAUCAGGUUGUUAGGAGGACUAGAUAAGAGAACUAUGUGAAGGACCCUGCACAGUGCUAGCAACAAAGUUGUUUAGUAAGUGCUAUUUCAAUUUAUUUUGCUUCCAAGCUCAUGUGAGCUCCCUCAGUGUGUACCACCAAAUCACAUGAUGUGUAUCCCAGUCAAAUCUUAAAGGUCAUCCACCUUGAAUCUUUAAGUUAAUUAACGUGUGUUUUUAAAACUGCAUUAUAAGAACGUUAGGGUUUUUGUUUUGAUCCUAUGGAAGUUAAAUUUUUUACACAAGCAUUCAACUGUUUAGCUUCAAACUGAACAGAUAAAUAGUCUGUAUUAUUUCAUUAUGUAUUAAAAAAUGAUUAAGCCUGCCUCAGGCAGUUCAGGCAAAGCAGGUAAAAGAUUAUCAAGGAGUAACAUUAGAAAACACUAAUCAGAGUGCCUAAAAAGCUUUAUGCGGUCCAGGUUGUACAGGGAUGUUGGAACAGUAAAACAAACAAAACAUUACAAGGUAUGAAGCGUUCGAGAUAGGUAGAAUAGAGCAGGUUAUAUUAGAGAAGUCUCUUCUAAAAUUGUGUUGGCUAGCCUGGGAUUUGAACUUAUACCGUGUAUGUAUGUCCAUGUGUAACAGGUUGAACAUGCAAGAAGCAGUGUUCAUAAAAGGUGGCAAACUUGUUUUACUUGUUUCUCAGUCUUUUCAGAUCAGUACUUAUAAAACACUGAUAUUUACAGUAAAUAUCUUAUAUUAAAUAUUAGCUAACCCUAUUAAAUUGUGUGUCCUUGUGCUGCAGUCAUUUAAUGACCUCAUUCUUUGGUAAGUUGGCAUGUGAUUUGAGAUAGCUCUAAGUGCUAAUGGAUUGUUUGAAGGAGUUAAAGGCAAAACCAGGAAGAGAAAACUAUUUUUAGGAAAAAGCGAUCAUACAACAGGCCUUAAAUAGAAGAAAUGAGAUAUCUCUAUCUUUACUAUGUAACCUUUAAUUCCUUACACAUUUUGACUUCAUAUUUUUUGUAUGUAAAUGAGAAUGUUAUAGUCUUGUAAAUUCCUUUUCCUCUGUGACUACAUUCAGUUAUUUAUUUUAUUGUGUGUUUGUGCAUGUCGGUAGAGCACAGUAUUUAGUAGAAUGAGUUAUUGGUUAAACCACCUGGAUUCAUUUGUAAAAUGGGGCCACCUGUCUCUUAAAUUGUAAUGAGGAUUUGAUUAGAUAAUCUAGAUAAAUCACUUAGCACAAGAGUCUCCAGCCCCCGGACUCUUGACUGGUACUGGUCUGUGGCCUGUUAGGCACUGGGCUGCACAGCAGGAGGUGAGCAGGGAGCAAGCUAGCACUAGGGCCCAAGCUCCGCCUCCUGUCGGAUCAGUGGCAGCAUUAGAUACUCAUAGGAGCACAGACCCUGUUGUGAACUGUGCGUGUGAGGGAUCUAGGUUUCGUGCUCCUUACAAGAAUCUAAUUAAUGCCCGAUGAGUUGAGGUGGAACAGUUUCUUCCCAAAACCGUCUCAGGAAACCUGUCCCUGGUGCCAAAAUUUGGGGGACCUCUGACGUAGCACACUAUCUGGCACAUACCAAGCACUCAGAAAAUAUCCCAUUUCUCAAAACUCAGUUCCAGUGUCAAGUCUUAAUAGUAUAUUGAUCUUGGAACUCCAAGGUAGUUGGUCCUCUCUUUGUGCCAUAAAUGUGCCUUGUACUCAGUAGUGCUAAAUUGCUAUCAACUAGUGCUAAAUGUACUACUAAUUCAUCUGUGUGUCCACUUCCCUUCUUAGAUUGUGAGCCCCUUGAGGACAGAGAUGGGUUUACUCAUAUUUAUAAAUUCAUUGGCAUGAUAAAUAUUUGCUGAAAGAAUAAAAUUGUAUUCUUAUGUUUUAAGCAGGGUCCCCUCCACCUCUGAGUGGAAGAUGGUCUGGGAGCAAAGGUGACAGGUCUUCUAAAAAAUCUGGCCACAUUCUCAACCCACCACACCCCCGCUUUUUUAAACAGCUAUUUAAUUGCCAUUGUAAUCCUAAGGAUUGGAUCAAUUUUUCACUUCCCUUUUUCACACUUUUUUCCUUUUACUAAGAAAAUAAAGUAAUAAAGUGACUGCCAAAUGGAGAAAACUGUCCACUAAAUAUGAAUUAAUAAGUGCUAUUAUCAGAAAUUGUGUAAAAGCAACAUAAUGGCACUAUAAAAAGGUAUUAUCUUAGAAUCAAAAACCUUGGGUUUAUAUUAUAGCCCUGCUACUUUCUAGUCAUAUGACAGUGAUCAAGCUAUAUUACCUCUUUGGCUUGACAAAAUAGGGGUCAUCUCUAUUUCUGGCUUGUUAUGAUUGAUGUGAAAUAUUCAUACAAACUACCACUGUGCCUGGUAAGUAGAAGACACUCAAAUAUGUCUUGGAGUUACAGUUAAUACUGUAUCGUUUAAAUUUGAGAAAAACCAACUUUAAAAAAUCACAUAGAUACAGUUGUUUACUGCUAGAAAUUUUAUUUAAAUUAGUUGAUACUCUUGGUUAGGUAAUGAAAAACAAUGGUUUUAUCUCCAUUAUGCUGUGAUAGGGAAGAGUAACACAGUUCAAAUGGCAAAGGCAUACCUGACAAUUAAAAUGCAUAGUUAAAGGCUAAUACUUCCUGAACACAAGAAGACAAGUCUCUACUUGAUACUACUCUCCACAGUUAAAUCAUUGAUACUUUGUGCCAUACAGUGAAAACAGAACCAUCUAGGUGUUCACGGAUUGUAUUUUUCCUUAUGAAAGGUAGAAGGUUAGAGAAAAUUAUUCCCAAUACAAUUAAUACAAAUAAAAUUGGUUAUUAGGUGCCUUUUAAUUAGGCAGUAAGGGCAUAUGAAGCUUCAUUACCUAUGAGAAUUUUGUCAAAAUUAUUUCCCAGUUACCAUGUUUUAAAACAGCCUCUCAGAAUUCCCCACUUCUAAUUUCUCCUUUCUAUUCUACCAAUUUUACUCCAUACCUUUUUGCUAAAUAAACAUUUUCUUCCAACUCUGA
This 9402-nucleotide long non-coding RNA is filed under the name Homo sapiens (human). RNAcentral describes it as "HSALNT0350364". The record is from RNAcentral. Lineage: Eukaryota; Metazoa; Chordata; Mammalia; Primates; Hominidae.